This is a long non-coding RNA of Solea solea (common sole), 4036 nucleotides long. RefSeq lists it as uncharacterized. Lineage: Eukaryota; Metazoa; Chordata; Actinopteri; Pleuronectiformes; Soleidae. The transcript is spliced from 4 exons. The record is from RefSeq and is a predicted model, not a curated record.
GCUUCCUCCUCCUCUUCCUAUUUAAUCUCCAGCCAACAGUUCCGUGAUGUUACUUUGAAGAGAAGCUGCACGAGCCGUGGAACGAAAAAAAAAAAGACGCGAAAAGAAGUGUCGCUGCGUAACUACUGAAACUGUUCCGGGAGGAGGGAACUUGUGACGGUAAUGCUCCAACCGCCACAAAACCUCAAAAAAGAUGGAGGGAACUUUUAGAAAAAAAACAAAAACAAAGAGAAAACAACCCAGCGUGACAUCAGACGCCGAAAAUGUGGUCGCGUGCAUCAGCUCCUGUAUAAAAACGCAGCAAGGCGCGCCAGGAUGGCGCGUUCGACCUGGUCCAGAUUGGUGGCCCGUACAGAAUAGAACAACCUGCUUCCUGCUCACGGAGACCUGGUCGGACCCGCCAUAUACAAAAGCCUGAGGAUGUCAAAAAAAGAUUGAUCUUCAUGAAGGUCGUCAAAUAGUAGGUGUCAUGAUUUAAUUCUGGGUGGCCGCCGUGUCCCCACUCUCUCUUGGCCGCUGUGCCUACAUCUCUCUGCAUUGUCCAACAUGGCCACGUUCUUUCUAUUCUCCUGCUUUCCAUCUGUCAAAUAGCUGAGGGUUGUACAUGGAGCAUUUGCCACAGGUUGGUUUUGUAUGUUCCUGUCCACUUUAUUGGGUGCUCUGAAAUCUGGUCCUUGUUGGUUAUAUUUUUGUGGAACUGCUGAGCGAGUGAUUUGAAAGAAUGAGGUGAUGGAGUGUUUGAAAUUCUCUCUCUGAAUGAACGGCUUGUGUGUGACUGAGAUGCCUGGAUUGAAUAGUUAAGAUGGUCUGAGAAUAUGAUUAUGUUCAGCAGUUCACAUUAAAGUAGAUAUGGUGUCUUGAAGGGCUUAGAUGCUUGAUAAGUUAUAAUGCACUAACAUUUCCUUUUUAGGUCUGUCUACAAAGGGUGAGUCCAUAUUUUUUUAUUUCUUUUGCAGAGUAGGGGAAUAAACAAAAGAAAACUUGUGUGCUGUGUUUUUUGAAAAUGAAGGUACUUAGAUGUCGGCAACUGACUUGCUAGUCUAGCUGCCCACAGCUAACUACAGAAUCACACUAACAAUUUGUUAAUUUACAUUUACGUAAAAACACACCUCUCUAUGGAGGCGUUUUCUUACCUUGCCACUGUACCCUUAACAACUUUUUCUUUCCAACUGUUUCUUAGGACGGUAAGUGACACGCAGGCCGCGGGCCAUCGCUCUUCCGGCCGCCGUGUCGAUCUGUCCUGGCCCUCCUCUUGCCUUUCCUCACUUUAAUGAAAACGUGUCUCUAAAAGGAAAAAAACUGAACUGUUUUCUUUAGCACUAAAAUAUAGUGAUGUUGGAGGACCAGAUCUUUAAUAUGAGGUUUAAAUGGAUGUUGGUGUACAGUUAAAGCUAGAUGAUAGGAAUAAAAUUAAUGUUGUGCCUUGUACACUUGUCACAAGGCUUAGUCUUCUUGGCCGCUGUGCCUUUUUUUUUUUUUUUCCAUCGUGGCCAUUAAUCUACCGUUAGCCCUAGAACGUUAAAAUAGAUCCUGGUGAUCUAAAAACACAGUACCUGGCUUUGGAUGGCAGCCGUGCCAUUGCCUUUGUAUGGCCAUACGUCCUAUAAUUGCAAGUAGGCCAUGAUCGCUAACUGUGCCCGCGCCUUCGUAGCCUACUUGUGUUAUUGUACGUCUGGCCUUGCGCGUAUAGUCAUUUUACAUAGACAAACAUGGGUGCCUUCCGCGUCCAUGCACAGUAAGUGAACUAACCUGUACUUUUCUUUUAGCAUCAGUCAAGAGGAGCACCGACAUCACUGCAUGUCCAUCCUAAUUAGCGUUUUAGUUGCGAUAAAAUUUCAAAUGUUAAGUGCAGUUUUUCUUUCUUGCUUGGCCCCUGUGCCAUUACUAUACCUGCUCUGACCUGAAUCUUGAUUCUUCAUGGCCACUGUGUCAUGACUGUACUUGAUCUUGGUGUUCAUGCCAGUCUAUAAUUUCUGAUCUGUUUUUCCUACUAAGUUUUUGUGUGCGUGUGUGUGUGUGUUACUGCACCAGAAAGGUGAACAAAAUGUAUGCUGCAAGACUGGCAAGAUGCACACUAAUUAGACAACAAGCAAAUUCUUUCAAAAACAGGAACAUUUUUUACCUUUCAAGUAAGUAUUAAAUGCCUUUGCCACAUGAUCUUUGUGGGUAAAUCGUGUCCACUCAAUUUAUAAAGGUAAUUUGCAUCUAAACAUUUACAAUGCCUGACACAUUACAAUAAUCUAAUUUUUGUUUUGCGUUACUGAGUGCAAAGGCCUUUAUUUACACACUGACACAUGCCAAGACUGCCGUCAUGGCAUGUGUCACUGUCUCUUUCGCUGUUCUGUUUGUCUCUCGCUGGUCUGUCUGUCCUGUGUGUCUUUCUGUCUGGUCUCUGUCUUUCUGUCCUGUGUCGGAUUUAGUCACCUUUUUAGUCUUAACUUAAAUGGAUGAUUUUAAAGUUGAUUAGUCUUGAGGCAUCUGAUUUCUGCAGGAAAUUAUAGUACCUUAUUUUUAAAUGGCUUUGAUUUAAAAAUAAAUUUUUUGUCUUGAAGCUCAGUUAUAGUUGCAACUUGGACUGUUGACAAACGUGGAAGCUGAUGAAUCAUGUAGUAAAUGCAUCAUAGUUUACUGUAGCUAGUCUAAAGUUCUUUCAAAGUGCUGUAAAAAUGUAGUAAUUGAUUACGAUGAGCUAGAGCAGGUCCUCCUUUAUUCUCAACUGUUAAUUGCUUUGUUAAGAUAACUGGAUCCUGAUUUGAUUAUGAAGCUAAACUUUUGAUUUAUAUGCAAGUGUAGUCACAUUAGAUUGUAGGUGUUAUUCAGUCCAUGGAUAAUGUUAUGAUAUACUUUAGAUCUGGCAUUUGUUGAAACACUUGAUAUCUAUUUAAGUCAUAAAUUUUACGCACUGCCAUCAGCCUUUUGUAGUUGCUAACUAAAAUCAAAUUUAAUAUUAAUGCUGACUUGUCUUACUCUGCCAAGUUUAUUUCCCUCUAAAGGAGUUGAACUUUUUUGUGUUCAUAGUCUUUUUGCGCGUCAUGUUGGGAGGCCUCCCAGCAGGGGAUUUUUAACUUCCCCUGCAAAACUAUGCGUUACUCGCCUUAGGGAUGCAGGGCUAUCCUGCAUAGUUUCUUUCAUAAAUGGGAUUGUAGGUUGCAGGUUUAGAGCGUGUUUCUUUUCUUUAGGAGGACACAAACUUGGCAGAGAGACAACUCGGAUUAUUUAAGUGAAAGUUGCGCCAAAUGUUCAAACUUUUUAUCUUUCGAUACGAUGACUUGAAAUAAAACCUUUAUUCUGUGAGCUGAAUACCAGGAGUCAUGAUGUUUAGAAAAUCAGACAGAAUUUGACUUCAUGUUAAAGACUGUUGUGCAAGUACCCUCUUGUAGCAGGAGUGAGCAGCUGCAGCUUUUUAAUUUAUUUUUCGUUAUUUGAUUUGUUUCUUGGAUUGACUUGGUGUCUGGAGCUUUGUGGUUAACAGUGAUCAUGUAAACGUGUAAACACAAAUGGUCUUUUGCCUCUUAUUUGUGAAGCUGGCAGCUGGUUGAAAUGAUAGGACUUUAUGGCUUGCCCAAAGUGGGAUUUUUGAUAGAGCAUAGGGUUAACACCUCACCAUACACUAGCUAUUUCGGUGAACAAGUGUCUGUAGUCCAUGUUGGACACCACAACCUGGAGAAGUCCUGCCCUGGAUGGCUGCGGUGAUGACCUCGCCCAAGAUGAACCGACCCUUCUACGACGAGGACUUUGCCCAAGAUGAACCCACCCUUCUACGACGAGGACUUUGCCCAAGAUGAACCCACCCUUCUACGAUGACGCCUCUUUUCCAUGGGAUGUCUUCAGAUAUUGGACCUUGCCAAACUGUACACAUGCCUCAAUGGCUGCUACGUCACCCGUCGCCCAACAGGACAUGGUCACUGAAAUUUUUUUUUUUUUUAAAUGGACCCACAACCACACAUGACAAAACAUUGUACAUGUGAUGCAUCACCACACUAAAAUACAGACUCUGCUACUUUCAGCCUGUAAUGUUUGACAUUGAGAACUUGUA